Molecule: long non-coding RNA, 893 nt
Filed under: Malus domestica (apple)
Lineage: Eukaryota; Viridiplantae; Streptophyta; Magnoliopsida; Rosales; Rosaceae
Description: long non-coding RNA (MDOM_LNC020736)
Source: RNAcentral
ACGUCCAAUGUCUAGUGUUUCAUACAUGACGAGACUAGAUUUCGAAUCUCAUCAUCCCUGGUUAGGUUGAUGAGUCUCUCCAAGGCUGACCUUUGUGGAGGAGAACUGAGUGCACUUUCCCAUCUAGUAAGGUUGGUCAACCUGUUAAACAUGGAACCUCUAGAGAUCAGUGCACCUAGUGGAUUGAAGAUAGAAGUCUAGGCUUGACCAUAGAUGCAAUGAAACAUAGAAGUUCCCCCUUUUAAACCUUAAACUGUUCCUUGUGCGCCGACUGUGUCACCUUCGUGGCUGCUCUGGGGCGAGUUUACUUAGUGUUUGAUGUGAAAUUUAUGUUGACACACAAAUUAACCCUCUUUUUAUCAAUUGUAGCAAAGUAUGUAAGUAGGGAUCGUUCUAGACCGGGGAUUAGGAGGGAUUGCAAAAUCACUUGAAAACUUACUCAAAUACGUAAAACAAGUUUAAAACACUAAACUAGACUCAAAGAAUGCAAAACUAAACUUUAAAACACCAAAACAAACCAAAAGACUCAAAACAGCCCCAAAAACACUCAAAACUGCCUUAAAACCACAAUCUGGGCAGUUUUGAGCACUAGACACAAACUUGGACGAAAAUUGGUUUUCACUUGACCUAAGACACUUAAAAACACAAACUUAAGUGAUUUCUAACUACUAUGACUCAACCAAGUAAAGGGGGAUUGAUUUUGGACGAAUUUAACUUUUAAAACAAGAACUUUGAAAACAAACUUUAAUGAAAACGAUUUUGAUGAAAUAAAAUUGGGGAAAGGCUAGUUAGAGGGUUCCUUCUCCACACAUGAAACAUAUGCAUACGACUCAAUUUCCAAUUACUCUUUCAAUAAACCAUGAAUGACAAUGCCCCAAAUUAACUAGAUUGAC